GAAAUGUUUUGUUUACAUGAAAAUCAACAAAUAUCAGAUCUAUUAUUCACUGCAUUAUCAAGCGGCCUGUUAGGCAGUGCUGUAGUUCCUGCCUGCAGCAAGCCUGGGAAGCUACUGGUCCAACAUGCAAGGAUCUCACCUUUGCUAACGCUUUCAGGCCAGCUGCUUUUUGUGCUUUAUGGUGCAUCUCACUGCUUUGUUAGUCAUUCCUGCACCCCCUUCAGUUCUUUUGUGCAGUGUGUUCUAAUAUAUAUCUAAUGUUUGAAGACAGUUUUUAAAACCUGCUUUUUUUUUCUUUUUUUUUUUUUUUUUCUUUCUUCCAAUUGAAUCCCCAGAAAUAUAGUGCAGAGGGAACCCAAGAUUUAGUACACUCCCUUCAAAGAUCUCUAAAUCACUACUUUUAUUUUACUCCUUAAUUCUUCCUUUCCUUCUGAGAAUAAAGCUUGCCCAUCUAUUUAACUUUGAAGACCA
This 471-nucleotide long non-coding RNA is filed under the name Coturnix japonica (Japanese quail). RNAcentral describes it as "lncRNA (ENSCJPG00005007742.1)". The record is from RNAcentral. Lineage: Eukaryota; Metazoa; Chordata; Aves; Galliformes; Phasianidae.